UUUGGUUUUGGAGUUGCCGUUCGAAGUCGAGUCCGUGGUUCCUGUUCGAUCUAGUUGUUGUUUUUCUUGUUCGGAGUUUGUGAUUCAGAGCAUUGUAGCCGACUCUCUUAAUUCUCUUCUACUAAGAAGAAACUUGCAAUUCUCAGGUUCAUUCUCACUAUCCCAUUUAUCUUAGUUUUCUUAUUGCAAAUUUAGCCGAAAGAGCCAUUUUAGGAUAGGUUCGUUGGUAUUCUGUUUAGUCGAUUAGAUACAGAUUUAUGGGAAUAUGGGUUCGUUAUUCUCAUUUUGGUUUAAUCUGUGCCAUUUGAUUGUUUAUCUCUUUUAAUAGUUUGCUUAUAUUUUAGGAAUGAAUCAAUUUUCAAUUCAUUUGGAUCUUGUACUGUCGUAGUACACUUUGUUCCUACUUAUUCUUAGUCUAACACCAGCAUGAAGGGCAUAUUUUAAGGGGGUUUAUUUAGUCUUAUUAAGGUUUUAAGUAGGAUAGGUUCAUUACUCUUGUUUGAAAAUUGGUAGAUCACUACUUGAAAUCAAAAAUCUAAACUAAAAGUGCCAUAAAACCAUCUCCCUCAUUUCUUUAAUUCAAAUCUGACAUUAUGUCUCAAUCUUAGUUGUUGGAAUAUUCUUUCUUAUUCGAAUUAGUUAGCGUUCUAAAAAUUGAUACCUCCAGCGUGGUUUCACUUCUCUAUAGUUACUAGGAUACUUUUUGUCAGACUAGUGUAGUAACCAUGUUUAGGACCUUGAGCUUUUCUUAUUUAUUAGUCUAUUUUCUCAAUCUCAAAUGAUGGACCAUUAUUUAUGAGAAAUGGAUUAAGUGCAUGAAAAUGUGAUUUUUUUUUAAGAAAUCAUUUUGUGGCUAUUAAUGCGGGUCGAUUAAAUUUGUAGUAAAUAUUUAGGAUCCAUAUUUAUGUCCAGCUAAAUAUCAUGUUUUGGAAUAUUUCGUUGGUUUGAAUUAAUUGGGGUGGGUAGUAAAGAUCUUUAGAUGGCUCUUUCAGAUGGCUUUAAUUCACCUUCCUUUACUUUUAUUUCCAUUUUGGUUUUCUUUAGCUCUUAUUUCCUCGUAAGUGUUGAGUUUCGUUGGGCAGUCUUUAUCUCUGUUUGAAUCAGCUUGUUUACGUGAAUGUUUUAGAUGUAAGGAGGAUUUCGAGCGGUUGGGUAUUGAAAUUAACGAAACAGAGUUCAAUUGUACAUUUGUUUCUUUUAUUAUCUUGUUCGUUAGGAGCAUGCUUAGGCCGAUCACAUUUGGGUAGGCAAACCUUUAGGAUGUUCGUGUUUUAGCUUCUUUCUGAGGCAAGAGAUUCCCCUUAAUUAAAUUUAUCCGGGGAAUGCCCCGAAGAAUUUGUAUAUAUUUUAUUCGGGGUAUGCCCCGAAGUAUUUGUAUUUGGAGGCCGAUAGUAGAACUCGUAGUAUUUUUGUUUCUAUUUUUAUUUUUUAUUUUAUUAGGCAGGGAUGACCUCAAGCCUCGUAUGUGUUUGUUUUGCUUUUCUGUAUUUUUACCUCAACUUGAAUAUUUUAAAAGCCGAUUAGAUCAAGUAUGCAAUCAUACUAGUUACGGGACUUGGGGAGUGCCUAACACCUUCUCCUCGAGUCAAAUGAACCCUCUUACCCAAAUAUUUGGUGCAGACUUAAUUUGGAGUCCAAAGUGUUUUAAAAGGAAAAUCAUUUUUAAAAACGGUGACCUGGCACACCGAAACAAAUGACAGGUGGCGACUCUGAGUUUUUUCCUUUUGAACACAAUUUUGUCACUUUUUAAUUAAAAACUCUUUUGAGCUUUACAAAUCCUUUUUAUUAUUUUUGAGAGGGUUAGUGGGUUGUUAAAAAGGGGUGUGACAUAUAUAAACAGAAAUUUUUAGCUAUUUUUUAAUUUUUAAAACCCUAAAACAUAAGAGGCGAUUUUCCAAACAUUUUUUCUUCCCAAAAAUACUAGUAAGUGAUUUUUAACUCAUUUCUUUCACUCCUUAACUUCUUUUUACAAGAUUUCAUCCUAGAAUAUAGGGUUUUUCAUGGUGGAAUUGGGAAUUUCGGGUAGAGCCUAAGAAUAUUGAAAUUUGGUGAUUCAGACCUCAAAUUGAGGUCGGAUUCCAAAACCAAUAAUAUAUCCGGGCUCGGGGUGAAUGGGUAAUCGGGUUUUGGUCCGAAUUUCGGGUUUAGACCAAGUGGGCUCGGGGUUAAUUUUUGACUUUUUGGGAAAAUCAUUGAAAAACCUAUUUUCAUGCAUUAGAAUUGACUCAUUUAAUAUUUACUAAUAUUAUUAAGUAAAUUGUGACUAGAUAUAAGCGAAUUGGAAAUGGAACCAAGAGGUAAAGCGGAAGUUGAGGCUUGAUUGUGUUCGUGGCUUUGAGUUAAGUGUUUGGUCUAACCUUAGCUUGAGGGAUUAGGAGUUGAGUCUUCUUUUCUAUGUGUUAAUUGUUGAGUACGACGUAUAGGCAUAGUGACGAGUAUCUAUACGUUGAUGCCAAGCAUGCCUGCGAGUCGUAUACUAUGAUUAAUGUGACUCCGUUUCAUAACCUUCAUGCUUUAUAUGAUGAUUUCUAUUGAUGAACAAGACUUGUGGAAGUAUUAUUGGUAAUUGAACAAUGUAGAGCGUUGGCUCAAGUUGAGAAUUGAGUUGUGAAGUAAAUGUGG
Molecule: long non-coding RNA, 2622 nt
Filed under: Nicotiana tabacum (common tobacco)
Lineage: Eukaryota; Viridiplantae; Streptophyta; Magnoliopsida; Solanales; Solanaceae
Description: long non-coding RNA (NTAB_LNC018149)
Source: RNAcentral